GAUGAACGCUGGCGGCGUGCCUAAUACAUGCAAGUCGAGCGAACGGACGAGAAGCUUGCCUCUCUGAUGUUAGCGGCGGACGGGUGAGUAACACGUGGAUAACCUACCUAUAAGACUGGGAUAACUUCGGGAAACCGGAGCUAAUACCGGAUAAUAUUUUGAACCGCAUGGUUCAAAAGUGAAAGACGGUCUUGCUGUCACUUAUAGAUGGAUCCGCGCUGCAUUAGCUAGUUGGUAAGGUAACGGCUUACCAAGGCAACGAUGCAUAGCCGACCUGAGAGGGUGAUCGGCCACACUGGAACUGAGACACGGUCCAGACUCCUACGGGAGGCAGCAGUAGGGAAUCCUCCGCAAUGGGCGAAAGCCUGACGGAGCAACGCCGCGUGAGUGAUGAAGGUCUUCGGAUCGUAAAACUCUGUUAUUAGGGAAGAACAUAUGUGUAAGUAACUGUGCACAUCUUGACGGUACCUAAUCAGAAAGCCACGGCUAACUACGUG
RNAcentral lists this ribosomal RNA (497 nucleotides) under uncultured bacterium. RNAcentral's name for it is "partial 16S ribosomal RNA". It matches the Rfam family "Bacterial small subunit ribosomal RNA", at positions 28 to 507 of the family's 1533-position model. The record is from RNAcentral.